AUAUCACUCAAAACCUGUUUGUUGCCCUGUGAAAAAUGUCUGAAACCCGGUGUUAUCUGAGCAUCAGCUACUUCUGCAGAGUUUCUGGAUCCAGCAAAAGAUGAAUCAACUGACUGAAAAAUGGGCAGGUUACCUGCAGUUUCAGGAUGGCUUUGGGUCACCAAAGUAAGACUUGUAUCUGUUGCAGAAGUGGAUUUGACAUCUUGUAGAACUUAUAGAACUUCUGACCUGCAUGUUAUGAGGAAUGGAAAGAGUCACAGAUAAAAGAUAUAAAUGUCACUUGAGAUGCUGGUUAAAGUUGCACCUUUGUCCUACUCUUCAACUCAAUCCCUGCUGACAAGAUAGGUUUCACUGACCUCUGGUGUCUGUACACAUUUUUUCUCUACUAUGUAACCCAUUCUGGUU
This is a long non-coding RNA of Rhea pennata, 405 nucleotides long. RefSeq lists it as uncharacterized. The transcript has 4 exons. NCBI's taxonomy places the organism in Eukaryota, Metazoa, Chordata, Aves, Rheiformes, Rheidae. The record is from RefSeq and is a predicted model, not a curated record.